AUGAUACGAUCCUCCCGAUCGAGCCACCGCACAGAUCGGGCGCCAGCGCUUGCGAGUUGUCGGCGUUGCCAUACCGCCACACGCCGCCGACGCGACACUGCUGCAGCCCGUUUUUCCAACGAUGUUUGUUCACCGUGCGGCCAGCAAUUUAUGCCUUGCCGUCACACUGUUCGGUGCGCUGCCGACGACGCCGUGCCCUGCCGGCAUCCAUUUCUGCCGAUGACGCAUCUUUGUGCGUCACCGCACAUUUUGUACUCACCACGUGCGCCGUGCCACGCAGCCAGCCAUGGUGUCGCAUCGCCUUGCCGUUGUAUCUCUCAACCCACAGCCACUCCCAGUCGCGUGCGCCACCGUCGUCCUGCGCAGCCGCGCCGAGCCUUGCCAUCGGUUCAUGAAACGCCGCAGCGUCCGGCCAUCGCAUCGCGUAACCGCUUGUCUUGCAGUACGCGUGCACUAUCCAUGUUGUCGCCAUGCCGAGCACUGGCCAUUGACGUUGAGAGCCUCGUCAAGAGGCCGCGUUCGCAGCCGCCUCCUCGCCUUGCACCUAGUGAGCGCCUCCCCGACUUGUCGUUCCAUCGCGAGGUCACGCACGCGUCUCCAACCAUCGGUGAUGCCGAGAACGACGACCGGGCGAUGGUGCUUCCUUUCUUCCCGUGUAUACGCUCGGACAAAUCGAUUUUUUGCAUGAGUGCAUGA
RNAcentral lists this ribosomal RNA (696 nucleotides) under Triticum aestivum (bread wheat). RNAcentral describes it as "partial small subunit ribosomal RNA". The record is from RNAcentral. Lineage: Eukaryota; Viridiplantae; Streptophyta; Magnoliopsida; Poales; Poaceae.